UUCACAGAUAGCCAGUCGAGAUAGGUGCUU
Molecule: non-coding RNA, 30 nt
Filed under: Mus musculus (house mouse)
Lineage: Eukaryota; Metazoa; Chordata; Mammalia; Rodentia; Muridae
Source: RNAcentral